Molecule: transfer RNA, 76 nt
Filed under: Gammaproteobacteria bacterium
Lineage: Bacteria; Pseudomonadati; Pseudomonadota; Gammaproteobacteria
Description: tRNA-Glu
Rfam family: tRNA
About the family: Transfer RNA (tRNA) molecules are approximately 80 nucleotides in length.
Source: RNAcentral
GCUCUCUUCGUCUAGAGGCCCAGGACAACGCCCUCUCACGGCGUGAACAGGGGUUCGAAUCCCCUAGAGAGCGCCA